This 84-nucleotide microRNA precursor is filed under the name Bombyx mori (domestic silkworm). RNAcentral describes it as "mir-2807 microRNA precursor family". It matches the Rfam family "mir-2807 microRNA precursor family". The record is from Rfam by way of RNAcentral. Lineage: Eukaryota; Metazoa; Arthropoda; Insecta; Lepidoptera; Bombycidae.
UUAGUUCAUAUUUGUAUGGAGUAGGAUCGUUUGCGUACGUUUGCCGCUAGGAGCGCUGUUCCAAUUGCAUACAAAACUGGGUUA